CAGUAGCCACGGGAAUACGAAGGGGGCUAGCGUUGUUCGGAAUUACUGGGCGUAAAGCGCACGUAGGCGGAUAUUUAAGUCAGGGGUGAAAUCCCAGAGCUCAACUCUGGAACUGCCUUUGAUACUGGGUAUCUUGAGUAUGGAAGAGGUGAGUGGAAUUCCGAGUGUAGAGGUGAAAUUCGUAGAUAUUCGGAGGAACACCAGUGGCGAAGGCGGCUCACUGGUCCAUUACUGACACUGAGGCACGAAAGCGUGGGGAGCAAACAGGAUUAGAUACCCCCGUAGUCCCUGUCUCUUAUAC
This 301-nucleotide ribosomal RNA is filed under the name uncultured bacterium. Its description in RNAcentral is "partial 16S ribosomal RNA". It matches the Rfam family "Bacterial small subunit ribosomal RNA", at positions 509 to 807 of the family's 1533-position model. The record is from RNAcentral.